ACCUAGGUGAGGGCAGUGGCAACAACGGAAUGUGGGGACCCGGUGCAAGGCCGAGGGAAGGGCCUCGGUGUGGCUGAGGUCUCAGGCAGUCUAGACAGGUAUCGGGGACAAAGAGCCAGGCAGGGCUUCUGAGAGGAGCGGCGUCCACGCUGGGCCAGCUGCCCAGUGACGUGGUGCUGCUCCCGACUCGACGCAUCACUCUGACACCGUUUCACAGUUACCCUGGGCACGCUGCCACCAUGACUCUGCUCAUCAAUGGCCCCAAUCACCAAGUGUCUGGUUUCACUAUCGGCAUCCUAGGAUGGAUCCUCUGUACAACUUCCAUGGGCCUUGUGGAGUGGCGAGUGUGGCACAUGGACGACCCCACGUUCUUCCCCACUGGUGUUGCCUGUGUGGGAAUGUGGAGAGUCUGCAUCUACCAUCAUGACACCAACACCAGCAUAGCCAAAGUUUGUCAUCUGUACACCUACGAUGAUGACUUUCUUCCGUUUGAGAUUCGUAGUGCUCAACACCUCCUGCUGAUUGCCAGCAUUCUAGGGCUCCUGGGGAGAGUCUUCAGCAUCUUUGCACUUAGGAAUGUAUACAUGGGAAUCCCUCAGAAGCAUGCCUGCAAUCCAUUCCUUCUUUCGGGGAUGCUGAAUUUAAUUGCUGCUCUCUGUAUCACACUUGCCGUGCUCCAGAAUUACUACUCUAUCAAAAAUUUACAGGGGAUUGCCUUCCCGCCAUCUUUCCAAGUGCCUUUCAGGCCAGAUACCCAGGAAAGCGGGAAUGCCGCUUUAGUGGCAAGUAUAGCUGCCUUCCUGAUGCUCUUAAGUGGGUUGUUUUAUCUCUGCUACAAAUCUCCACUGGAGAGCAAAGGGUACCCUGCAGUUUGAGAAACAGGAAUUUGCUGGUUGUGUGGGCUUUGAAAUCCAAGAGUUUAUGGGAAGUAUUACCAGGAUGCUCUACCAAAUAUUUCCAGGGACUCAAGACCAUGGCAAAGGUAGUUUGGGACACAAAGUAGCCAACUGUUUCCCUCUCUUACAUUGUGUAUCUAAAUGUGGUUCAUUGAUUGGUUAGCUGAAUUUAGAAUUUUCAAUAAAAAUGUAUCUUGCCCACCA
Molecule: non-coding RNA, 1100 nt
Organism: Microcebus murinus (gray mouse lemur)
Lineage: Eukaryota; Metazoa; Chordata; Mammalia; Primates; Cheirogaleidae
Source: RefSeq, a predicted model, not a curated record